UAGGGAAUAUUGGACAAUGGGUGAGAGCCUGAUCCAGCCAUGCCGCGUGCAGGAAGAAGGCGUUAUGCGUUGUAAACUGCUUUUUGCCAGGGGAUAAAAAGACCGUGCGCGGUUAAUUGAAGGUACCUGGUGAAUAAGCCACGGCUAACUACGUGCCAGCAGCCGCGGUAAUACGUAGGUGGCAAGCGUUGUCCGGAUUUAUUGGGUUUAAAGGGUGCGUAGGUGGCCCUGUAAGUCAGUGGUGAAAUAUCUCAGCUUAACUGAGAGGGUGCCAUUGAUACUGCAGGGCUUGAGUACAGAUGAGGUAGGCGGAAUUGACGGUGUAGCGGUGAAAUGCAUAGAUAUCGUCAAGAACACCGAUAGCGAAGGCAGCUUACCAAGCUGUAACUGACGCUGAGUACGCGAAAGCGUGGGGAGCAAACAGGAUUAGAUACCC
This 436-nucleotide ribosomal RNA is filed under the name uncultured bacterium. Its description in RNAcentral is "bacterial SSU rRNA". It matches the Rfam family "Bacterial small subunit ribosomal RNA", at positions 355 to 787 of the family's 1533-position model. The record is from RNAcentral.